UACGUAGGCAGCGAGCGUUGUUCGGAGUUACUGGGCGUAAAGGGCGCGUAGGCGGCCUGCUAAGUCGGAUGUGAAAUCCCUCGGCUCAACCGAGGAACUGCAUCCGAUACUGGCGGGCUUGAAUCCGGGAGAGGGAUGUGGAAUUCCAGGUGUAGCGGUGAAAUGCGUAGAUAUCUGGAGGAACACCGGUGGCGAAGGCGGCAUCCUGGACCGGUAUUGACGCUGAGGCGCGAAAGCUAGGGGAGCAAACGGG
This 253-nucleotide ribosomal RNA is filed under the name uncultured bacterium. RNAcentral describes it as "partial 16S ribosomal RNA". It matches the Rfam family "Bacterial small subunit ribosomal RNA", at positions 524 to 776 of the family's 1533-position model. The record is from RNAcentral.